RNAcentral lists this ribosomal RNA (240 nucleotides) under uncultured Lactobacillus sp. RNAcentral's name for it is "partial 16S ribosomal RNA". It matches the Rfam family "Bacterial small subunit ribosomal RNA", at positions 122 to 355 of the family's 1533-position model. The record is from RNAcentral. Lineage: Bacteria; Bacillati; Bacillota; Bacilli; Lactobacillales; Lactobacillaceae.
UAACCUGCCCAAGAGAUCGGGAUAACACCUGGAAACAGAUGCUAAUACCGGAUAACAACAGAUGAUGCCUAUCAACUGCUUAAAAGAUGGUUCUGCUAUCACUCUUGGAUGGACCUGCGGUGCAUUAGCUAGUUGGUAGGGUAACGGCCUACCAAGGCGAUGAUGCGUAGCCGAGUUGAGAGACUGAUCGGCCACAUUGGGACUGAGACACGGCCCAAACUCCUACGGGAGGCAGCAGUA